CUUAUGUCCCGUCGAGGCCGGUUAGCCAGGUCUGAACUUGAUUGUGCUGAAGCAUCGUUGUUCCCUGUGACUUGCAUUGCCAUAAGAAACCAGAACUUCUCGACCCCCACGCCGCCGCCAACCUCGAUCACCCACAACGCCACAACAUUUGCUGACAUUGUGAGGUUUGGGAGGACUAGGAUGGAUGGGGAAGGUCAAUGCAGAGGAGGUUUUAGGGCACCUGGAGUCAUUGGCAGAUCUGGAGGUGGCUUUGGUUUCGGCAAUCGCGUGGAGGGGUUCACCUCGGGAGGCUUUGGGCAGGC
RNAcentral lists this unclassified non-coding RNA (302 nucleotides) under Zea mays. Its description in RNAcentral is "misc RNA Zm00001eb283540". The record is from RNAcentral. Lineage: Eukaryota; Viridiplantae; Streptophyta; Magnoliopsida; Poales; Poaceae.